This 418-nucleotide long non-coding RNA is filed under the name Carassius auratus (goldfish). RNAcentral describes it as "lncRNA (ENSCARG00000032725.1)". The record is from RNAcentral. Lineage: Eukaryota; Metazoa; Chordata; Actinopteri; Cypriniformes; Cyprinidae.
AAUUGAUUAAUUAAAAUGGACUUUUAAAAAGCGUUCUCAGUUUUUUUUUUAGAUGCAAACAGUGUUCAGUUUUUUAACUUUAUGUGUCCUCCAGGGUCAUGUGAUUUUGGCGGUGUCUCAGCCCCUGACGGACAGACAGAUUCAACACACCUUGUGGACAGAGACUAUGCAUCUUUCAUUCACAGCUGGGAACAUGCGAGAUUUGCACUCUGAUCUAGAGAUGGAACCCAGCAGCCCCACACGCCUUCUGAGGAACAUUGAAAGACAGAGUGCCCAGCUGACUCAGAUUGUAAACAGCCUGAUGCCAUUUUUGUCUGCCUCUCCUUCUUCAUCGCCUAUGCCUAAAGUACCUUGUAAUCGCUGGAGAGGUCAACAGAAAACAGCUUACAGUGGGAUGAAUCAUUCAGCCCAGCGGUAA